UGGCGGAAUGCUNGACNCAUGCAAGUCGAACGGCAGCACGGGGCAACCUGGUGGCGAGUGGCGAACGGGUGAGUAAUACAUCGGAACGUGCCCAAUCGUGGGGGAUAACGUAGCGAAAGUUACGCUAAUACCGCAUACGAUCUACGGAUGAAAGCGGGGGAUCGCAAGACCUCGCGCGAAUGGAGCGGGCGAUGUCAGAUUAGGUAGUUGGUGGGGUAAAGGCUCACCAAGCCGACGAUCUGUAGCUGGUCUGAGAGGACGACCAGCCACGCUGGGACUGAGACACGGCCCAGACUCCUACGGGAGGCAACAGUGGGGAAUUUUGGACAAUGGGCGCAAGNCUGAUCCAGCCAUUCCGCGUGCAGGAUGAAGGNCUUCGGGUUGUAAACUGC
This 392-nucleotide ribosomal RNA is filed under the name uncultured bacterium. Its description in RNAcentral is "bacterial SSU rRNA". It matches the Rfam family "Bacterial small subunit ribosomal RNA", at positions 37 to 433 of the family's 1533-position model. The record is from RNAcentral.